Molecule: transfer RNA, 93 nt
Filed under: Fervidicella metallireducens AeB
Lineage: Bacteria; Bacillati; Bacillota; Clostridia; Eubacteriales; Clostridiaceae
Description: Selenocysteine transfer RNA
Rfam family: Selenocysteine transfer RNA
Source: Rfam by way of RNAcentral
GGGGGUAGAUAGGUGCUGGUGUGCCUGACAGUCUUCAAAACUGCUCUGCCGUGCUAAUAACACGACGGGUGGGUUCGAUUCCCACAUACUCCC